GAUGAACGCUGGCGGCGUGCCUAAUACAUGCAAGUCGAGCGAACAGACGAGGAGCUUGCUCCUCUGACGUUAGCGGCGGACGGGUGAGUAACACGUGGAUAACCUACCUAUAAGACUGGGAUAACUUCGGGAAACCGGAGCUAAUACCGGAUAAUAUAUUGAACCGCAUGGUUCAAUAGUGAAAGACGGUUUUGCUGUCACUUAUAGAUGGAUCCGCGCCGCAUUAGCUAGUUGGUAAGGUAACGGCUUACCAAGGCAACGAUGCGUAGCCGACCUGAGAGGGUGAUUGGCCACACGGGAACUGAGACACGGUCGAGACUCCUACGGGAGGCAGCAGUAGGGAAUCUUCCGCAAUGGGCGAAAGCGUGACGGAGCAACGCCGCGUGAGUGAUGAAGGUCUUCGGAUCGGAAAACUCUGUUAUUAGGGAAGAACAAAUGUGUAAGUAACUAUGCACGUCUUGACGGUACCUAAUCAGAAAGCCACGGCUAACUACGUG
RNAcentral lists this ribosomal RNA (497 nucleotides) under uncultured bacterium. Its description in RNAcentral is "partial 16S ribosomal RNA". It matches the Rfam family "Bacterial small subunit ribosomal RNA", at positions 28 to 507 of the family's 1533-position model. The record is from RNAcentral.